AGUGAACGCUGGCGGCGUGCCUAAUACAUGCAAGUCGAACGAAGUGGCGCACGGGUGAGUAAUAUAUAGUUAAUCUGCCCUCCAAUGAGGAACAACAGCUGGAAGAGACUGCUAAUACCUCAUAUUGUAGGAUGAGACUAUAUCGUAUCAGCUAGUUGGUAAGGUAAUGGCUUACCAAGGCUAUGACGCGUAACUGGUCUGAGAGGAUGAUCAGUAAAAUGUGAACUGAGACACGGUCCAGACACCUACGGGAGGCGGCAGAAAGGAAUUUCGCGCAAUGGGGGAAAACGUGGCGCGACAACGCGGCGUAGAGGAUGAUACUUUUCGGAGCAUAAACUCCUUUUAUCAGGAGAGCGGUACCUGAAGAAUAAGCACCGGCUAACUCCGUGCCAGCAGCCGCGGUAAUAC
This 408-nucleotide ribosomal RNA is filed under the name uncultured bacterium. Its description in RNAcentral is "partial 16S ribosomal RNA". It matches the Rfam family "Bacterial small subunit ribosomal RNA", at positions 29 to 526 of the family's 1533-position model. The record is from RNAcentral.